RNAcentral lists this ribosomal RNA (632 nucleotides) under Bacillus sp. (in: firmicutes). Its description in RNAcentral is "bacterial SSU rRNA". It matches the Rfam family "Bacterial small subunit ribosomal RNA", at positions 72 to 689 of the family's 1533-position model. The record is from RNAcentral. Lineage: Bacteria; Bacillati; Bacillota; Bacilli; Caryophanales; Bacillaceae.
AAGGGAGCUUGCUCCCGGAUGUUAGCGGCGGACGGGUGAGUAACACGUGGGUAACCUGCCUGUAAGACUGGGAUAACUCCGGGAAACCGGAGCUAAUACCGGAUAGUUCCUUGAACCGCAUGGUUCAAGGAUGAAAGACGGUUUCGGCUGUCACUUACAGAUGGACCCGCGGCGCAUUAGCUAGUUGGUGAGGUAACGGCUCACCAAGGCGACGAUGCGUAGCCGACCUGAGAGGGUGAUCGGCCACACUGGGACUGAGACACGGCCCAGACUCCUACGGGAGGCAGCAGUAGGGAAUCUUCCGCAAUGGACGAAAGUCUGACGGAGCAACGCCGCGUGAGUGAUGAAGGUUUUCGGAUCGUAAAGCUCUGUUGUUAGGGAAGAACAAGUGCAAGAGUAACUGCUUGCACCUUGACGGUACCUAACCAGAAAGCCACGGCUAACUACGUGCCAGCAGCCGCGGUAAUACGUAGGUGGCAAGCGUUGUCCGGAAUUAUUGGGCGUAAAGGGCUCGCAGGCGGUUUCUUAAGUCUGAUGUGAAAGCCCCCGGCUCAACCGGGGAGGGUCAUUGGAAACUGGGAAACUUGAGUGCAGAAGAGGAGAGUGGAAUUCCACGUGUAGCGGUGAAAUGC